This 720-nucleotide ribosomal RNA is filed under the name Vibrio sp. 18I-1. Its description in RNAcentral is "bacterial SSU rRNA". It matches the Rfam family "Bacterial small subunit ribosomal RNA", at positions 57 to 756 of the family's 1533-position model. The record is from RNAcentral. Lineage: Bacteria; Pseudomonadati; Pseudomonadota; Gammaproteobacteria; Vibrionales; Vibrionaceae.
GCAAGUCGAGCGGAAACGAGUUAACUGAACCUUCGGGGAACGUUAACGGCGUCCAGCGGCGGACGGGUGAGUAAUGCCUAGGAAAUUGCCCUGAUGUGGGGGAUAACCAUUGGAAACGAUGGCUAAUACCGCAUGAUGCCUACGGGCCAAAGAGGGGGACCUUCGGGCCUCUCGCGUCAGGAUAUGCCUAGGUGGGAUUAGCUAGUUGGUGAGGUAAGGGCUCACCAAGGCGACGAUCCCUAGCUGGUCUGAGAGGAUGAUCAGCCACACUGGAACUGAGACACGGUCCAGACUCCUACGGGAGGCAGCAGUGGGGAAUAUUGCACAAUGGGCGCAAGCCUGAUGCAGCCAUGCCGCGUGUGUGAAGAAGGCCUUCGGGUUGUAAAGCACUUUCAGUCGUGAGGAAGGUGGUAAUGUUAAUAGCAUUAUCAUUUGACGUUAGCGACAGAAGAAGCACCGGCUAACUCCGUGCCAGCAGCCGCGGUAAUACGGAGGGUGCGAGCGUUAAUCGGAAUUACUGGGCGUAAAGCGCAUGCAGGUGGUUUGUUAAGUCAGAUGUGAAAGCCCGGGGCUCAACCUCGGAAUUGCAUUUGAAACUGGCAGACUAGAGUACUGUAGAGGGGGGUAGAAUUUCAGGUGUAGCGGUGAAAUGCGUAGAGAUCUGAAGGAAUACCGGUGGCGAAGGCGGCCCCCUGGACAGAUACUGACACUCAGAUGCGA